Molecule: long non-coding RNA, 251 nt
Organism: Lacerta agilis (Sand lizard)
Lineage: Eukaryota; Metazoa; Chordata; Lepidosauria; Squamata; Lacertidae
Exons: 3
Source: RefSeq, a predicted model, not a curated record
UUAUCAGAGAAAUGCAUUCCGUUCCCCUUCUUCCCUAAAAGGCUUCGCUGAUGCUGAGCUGUCUACGUUAUAAAAGGCCACCAGCCAUUUUGGUGACUGUACAGUAACUCAAAACCUGUUUCCUCACCGUCUGUGCAUCGCCCGGUUCCCAGAGACAUCAGGGUCACUUUUCAAGACCAGCAGAAGCUACAAGUUGAGUAGGUAUUCCCAGGACACAGAAGCAAGCACACAGAAUACUUGAAGCUUGAUUU